RNAcentral lists this long non-coding RNA (349 nucleotides) under Citrus x clementina. RNAcentral's name for it is "Citrus clementina (C. clementina) long non-coding RNA (CCLE_LNC004291)". Lineage: Eukaryota; Viridiplantae; Streptophyta; Magnoliopsida; Sapindales; Rutaceae. The record is from RNAcentral.
AGAAUCUAUCUCUGGCAAGGGCAAAAGCGAUAGGCCAGGUUAACGAGGAAAGGGGGACUGGUUCAACCUCAGGAAUGAGAGCAAGCAAGUCCAGCUUUGUUGUGCAAGUCACUGUCUUUAUCCGAUCUGAUAAGAUAGAUCUGAUGCACAUAUAGUAAAGAAAAGCUCUUCCGCAAGCCAUUUGGGGAAAUUCCCUAACUUUGAACGAAAGAAUGGUAAGCUUCUUUCCUUGUUACUUGAAAGAAUGCCUUGGCACACUCAUACUAGAAGUCAAAGAAAGAACUUGGGUCUAAGCUCUCAACUUCAAGGAAGGGAACCGAAAUAGCAGAAAUGUCAUCUACCUUUCCAA